Cynara cardunculus var. scolymus (artichoke) is the source of this 537-nucleotide long non-coding RNA. RefSeq lists it as uncharacterized. The transcript is spliced from 2 exons. NCBI's taxonomy places the organism in Eukaryota, Viridiplantae, Streptophyta, Magnoliopsida, Asterales, Asteraceae. The record is from RefSeq and is a predicted model, not a curated record.
CAAUACCUUUUUGGGAUGGUCAUUUGCCCUGACCAGGUCGGAUGAGCCAGGUUCCCCGCUAAAACGGGUCUUUGGAUCCUUGGUAGACUCAAACCGCAUUUGAGACUGAGGCCAGAUAAUUGCUUUUCAAGAUAGAGAUGAGCGUGAACGCGUGCUUGGUGGCAAUACAAGAAGAUGGGAGCAAAUCAUCCGAUUAGUGCAAGAGAUGUUGCCUGAUGUCGAACAGUCGAUGCCCUUUGCAAACUACGAUCAAAGCUUGCAAGCUCUCUCCAUUGCUGCCUUCUAAGGUGCUUCAUUGAAUUCAUUUGUUACUUAAUUAUUAAUAAAAAUGAGGUUAAAUAUAGAUUUAUUAUUGUGGGUUGUUUUUUUAGCAUGAAUGGGAACGAGAACAGAUUCAUCGCUAUUAUCAAUGCAAAAAACAUGGGUCGAUUGGGCGUUUCGAUAAUGCUUUUUUCUAGCUUUUAAUAUCGAUAGAGUACGUAAUAUGUAAUAUGUAAUAUGCAAAGCUUUCAUAUAAUUUGAGUAAGAAUACUGAAA